Molecule: long non-coding RNA, 1151 nt
Organism: Pongo pygmaeus (Bornean orangutan)
Lineage: Eukaryota; Metazoa; Chordata; Mammalia; Primates; Hominidae
Exons: 3
Source: RefSeq, a predicted model, not a curated record
CCCGGGGCAGUGUGAGGGAAGCCAGGGUGGGGGUCUGGUGUAGGAGUGUGUGGGAGGGCAGAGCCUAGGUAUGAAGUUGGAGAGGAAAAGGAAAGGAAAGACUUGGCAAUUUUCCCCAUGAUACUAGUGAUAAGAUUAUAAGGAUGUUUCCUAAUUAUACAGAAAAGAGGCUCAUAAACUUAGGCUCCAACAGACCCCUUUGUGAUCUGGUGAUCACCUGAACUUGUAAGAGUAUGCCUGUGUCCCUGGGUAUAUGUGAAUUUUUCUGAAACCAUGGUUUAUAGUUUUUAUCAGAUUUUUCAAAGAUGACUAAGGUCCCCAAUAGAUAAGCAAGAAGACCUGAGGGUCAGAAGAGCCAGCGUGGGUCAUGUACAGCUGUCACCAGGGAUAGUAAGGAGAAGUAAGAACACUUGACCAGUAAGAAGAGCGAAGAUUAGAUUUUGCACAGUUGCCAGAAUGCAAAAUCGAGAUGAUGGAUAUGAAAUGCAAACGAGCAAAGUUAGGCAUGUUCCUUCUUUAUCCUCAAGGACGCUCAGCCAGAGCCUGCAGCGCGCUCCCAGACAGACCACAGCUCCCAGGUUCCUCAGCUCCUGUGAGGACCCACAGCUGGGGUGGCCCACACAGAGACUGGGAUUCCGCCAACCUCACCCAGAAAUGCUGCCUCUCCAUUUUCAUGUUCUUGUUUGCUCUCUCCUGCCUGGUACCAUGCCUGACCACCUGACCCUUCCAGGGACUCUUGCCGCAAGCUGGCCUGUUCACCAGGUGCAAACAAUUUAUGCAGCACUUUCUAUCCAUUCUCCAGUGUUUGUGGUGCAAUUGGAAAAUGCAAAGGUUAUUUUUUUCAGGAGCAUCCUGAAGCAGGUCUGGGAUUCAGGCCUGUCAAAAUUGUUCCCUGCAGAUACAUCUGGAACAUUCCAUUAGCAGCAGGAACUCUGACAACUGUCAGAGUGGGGAACCAGGUAACCAAGACCUUUACCAUGGAGGUCAUUAGAAAUAAAACCCCAAUUUUCACAUCUCCCUAGAGGUAUGUUCCUCCCUGGUGGGAGGGGCUGAAGGCCUAUAAGCACCCAUCUCAGCCCCAAGAAGCCCAGUUCUUCCAAUGUCCUUCAGCCUCUACCAGCUGCAGAACAAUAAACAAACUCUGUCCUGUG